Molecule: ribosomal RNA, 453 nt
Filed under: uncultured Sphingobacterium sp.
Lineage: Bacteria; Pseudomonadati; Bacteroidota; Sphingobacteriia; Sphingobacteriales; Sphingobacteriaceae
Description: bacterial SSU rRNA
Rfam family: Bacterial small subunit ribosomal RNA
Source: RNAcentral
GAGUUUGAUCAUGGCUCAGGAUGAACGCUAGCGGCAGGCUUAAUACAUGCAAGUCGUGGGGCAGCGCAGUGUAGCAAUACAUGGGCGGCGACCGGCAAACGGGGUGCGGAACACGUACGCAACCUUCCUUCAAGUGGGGGAAUAGCCCAGGGAAACUUGGAUUAAUACCCCGUAAUAUUAUGAGGCGGCAUCACCUUAUAAUUAUAGCUCCGGCGCUUGAAGAUGGGCGUGCGCCUGAUUAGGUAGUUGGCGGGGUAACGGCCCACCAAGCCUUCGAUCAGUAACUGGUGUGAGAGCACGACCAGUCACACGGGCACUGAGACACGGGCCCGACUCCUACGGGAGGCAGCAGUAAGGAAUAUUGGUCAAUGGACGCAAGUCUGAACCAGCCAUGCCGCGUGGAGGAUGAAGGUCCUCUGGAUUGUAAACUUCUUUUAUCUGGGAAGAACCGGA